AGUUUAUCUUUGUAAGUACAGUGGUGUUCACCACAAAUUGAUCACAACCAGUUACAGAUUCCUCUGUUCCUUCUCUACUCCCACGGCUUCACUUGAUUAGCCUUAA
Molecule: small RNA, 106 nt
Filed under: Otolemur garnettii (small-eared galago)
Lineage: Eukaryota; Metazoa; Chordata; Mammalia; Primates; Galagidae
Description: Y RNA (ENSOGAG00000019311.1)
Source: RNAcentral